Molecule: long non-coding RNA, 642 nt
Organism: Vollenhovia emeryi
Lineage: Eukaryota; Metazoa; Arthropoda; Insecta; Hymenoptera; Formicidae
Exons: 4
Source: RefSeq, a predicted model, not a curated record
AUUAUUUUCCAUUAAAGGAUACAAACGCUGUAGAAGAAUUUGAAAAACUGUUAAAGAAUAAAACGAUUACUGUACCUCAAGUAGCACAAACGUUAUUAAAACGUGGUGGCAAAAAAUUGGAAGUAUUUAUAAAUCAUAUAAUGCAAGAUCUUUUUGUGGAUGAAGUAGCUGUCAAAUAUAGUUAUAAAGGACAAGGAGAAAGAAAAAAAAACCAUUUAAAGAUCUUCUACUUAAGGAAUGUGUAUUUAAAGCUGCACAUCUAUUUUCACCAAAUGCUACUAAUGAAGGCAUUAAAAAGCAGAUCAGUACUUGGCUGGCAGGUGCGACUUUACGACUGAAACGGAAAACCAUAAAAAUGGAAGACAAGGAAAACAAAACGGACCAAAACUAUACAUCUUGAAUCCGCGGAACGAUUUCGGGAGUCACUUCUUUUUUUUUACAUAUGAUAUAUAGGCUGCGUUCGGGAUGACACUAUUUAGCGCUAUGAGCGUACUCUGUCCUUGUUCAACUUUUACAAGUAACAAGGACAGAGCACGCUCAUAGCGCUGAAUAGCAUCUCCAUAAUAAUGUGAGUUUUUUUCUAAGGUAUAUAUUUUUCCACACAUGUGCUAUAUAAUAAUAUAAGUUUAUCUUUCUACGGUA